CCAGCCACACUGGAACUGAGACACGGUCCAGACUCCUACGGGAGGCAGCAGUGGGGAAUAUUGCACAAUGGGCGCAAGCCUGAUGCAGCCAUGCCGCGUGUAUGAAGAAGGCCUUCGGGUUGUAAAGUACUUUCAGCGGGGAGGAAGGGAGUAAAGUUAAUACC
This 164-nucleotide ribosomal RNA is filed under the name Escherichia fergusonii. Its description in RNAcentral is "partial 16S ribosomal RNA". It matches the Rfam family "Bacterial small subunit ribosomal RNA", at positions 304 to 467 of the family's 1533-position model. Lineage: Bacteria; Pseudomonadati; Pseudomonadota; Gammaproteobacteria; Enterobacterales; Enterobacteriaceae. The record is from RNAcentral.